GGCUGAAGGGCUGGUUAAUGAAGACACCCCGAAACUAUCGUUAAUGGAGCCCUAAGCCCAGGGUCAGAACUGCAAAGGCAGCUUCCCUUGAACUCCACAGAGUUAACCUCAGAGGCACUUAUUAAACCUGAGCGACAUGCAAACUGGAUGUCUGCAAAGUCUGGCCCAACACCAACAGUGUUUCUAGGCUUUUUUGAGGGUGCCGUGUCUCAGAGAUGGGACCAAACGGAAAGAGGGAUAUUUUGGACAAGAGUGGGAGGUGAAAGGAAAGGCCACUACUGUUCCAAGCAUCAGGUCUUUCUAAGCACCAUCUGGUCUUCCCCGGCUUAAUCUUUCACUAAACAUGCCAGCCAGAUGGUCACAAGCCCAGAUCUGUAUUUUAUAGCACAGGUCCAGACUGCUUGAUUACGAUGUGGAGCACAUGCUCUUUCCCUACAUGCUUCCAGGGACAAGGAACUCUCUCAAAUGAAGUCUUCAAACCACUGGGAAUCGGCAGCAACAACAAUGGUUGUUUCCUCUCUCAGGGACAUGCAAAGAUCUCUGGAGCUCACCUUUCAGCCAAGUGCCUAUGGUAUCUCCACCAAUAUUGGGAAGGGCCUUUAAUUUCUUCCUCCCACCCCUCUUCACUGAAGAUGCACCUCUCA
Long non-coding RNA from Mauremys reevesii (Reeves's turtle), 644 nucleotides. RefSeq lists it as uncharacterized. The transcript has 2 exons. The record is from RefSeq and is a predicted model, not a curated record. NCBI's taxonomy places the organism in Eukaryota, Metazoa, Chordata, Testudines, Geoemydidae.